GCCGGGCGUGGUGGCUCACGCCUGUAAUCCCAGCACUUUGGGAGGCCAAGGCGAGUGGAUCACCUGAGGUCAGGAGUUCGAGACCAGCCUGACCAACAUGGUGAAAACCCGUCUCUC
Molecule: unclassified non-coding RNA, 117 nt
Organism: Macaca fascicularis (crab-eating macaque)
Lineage: Eukaryota; Metazoa; Chordata; Mammalia; Primates; Cercopithecidae
Rfam family: Metazoan signal recognition particle RNA
About the family: The signal recognition particle (SRP) is a universally conserved ribonucleoprotein. It is involved in the co-translational targeting of proteins to membranes.
Source: Ensembl